GACGAACGCUGGCGGCGUGCCUAAUACAUGCAAGUUGAGCGCUGAAGGUUGGUACUUGUACCAACUGGAUGAGCAGCGAACGGGUGAGUAACGCGUGGGGAAUCUGCCUUUGAGCGGGGGACAACAUUUGGAAACGAAUGCUAAUACCGCAUAAAAACUUUAAACACAAGUUUUAAGUUUGAAAGAUGCAAUUGCAUCACUCAAAGAUGAUCCCGCGUUGUAUUAGCUAGUUGGUGAGGUAAAGGCUCACCAAGGCGAUGAUACAUAGCCGACCUGAGAGGGGGAUCGGCCACAUUUGGACUGAGACACGGCCCAAACUCCUACGGGAGGCAGCAGUAGGGAAUCUUCGGCAAUGGACGAAAGUCUGACCGAGCAACGCCGCGUGAGUGAAGAAGGUUUUCGGAUCGUAAAACUCUGUUGGUAGAGAAGAACGUUGGUGAGAGUGGAAAGCUCAUCAAGUGACGGUAACUACCCAGAAAGGGACGGCUAACUACGUG
Molecule: ribosomal RNA, 497 nt
Filed under: uncultured bacterium
Lineage: Bacteria
Description: partial 16S ribosomal RNA
Rfam family: Bacterial small subunit ribosomal RNA
Source: RNAcentral